ANUUUNAUCNUGCUCAGACGACGCUGCGGCGUGCUUAAUACAUGAAGUCGANNGGACAGAUGGGAGCUUGCUCCCUGAUGUAACGGCGGACGGGUGAGUAACACGUGGGUAACNUGCCUGUAAGACUGGAAUAACUCCGGGAAACCGGGGCUAAUACCGGAUGGUUGUUUGAACCGCAUGGUUCAAACAUAAAAGGUGGCUUCGGCUACCACUUACAGAUGGACCCGCGGCGCAUUAGCUAGUUGGUGAGGUAACGGCUCACCAAGGCAACGAUGCGUAGCCGACCUGAGAGGGUGAUCGGCCACACUGGGACUGAGACACGGCCCAGACUCCUACGGGAGGCAGCAGUAGGGAAUCUUCCGCAAUGGACGAAAGUCUGACGGAGCAACGCCGCGUGAGUGAUGAAGGUUUUCGGAUCGUAAAGCUCUGUUGUUAGGGAAGAACAAGUACCGUUCGAAUAGGGCGGUACCUUGACGGUACCUAACCAGAAAGCCACGGCUAACUACGUGCCAGCAGCCGCGGUAAUACGUAGGUGGCAAGCGUUGUCCGGAAUUAUUGGGCGUAAAGGGCUCGCAGGCGGUUUCUUAAGUCUGAUGUGAAAGCCCCCGGCUCAACCGGGGAGGGUCAUUGGAAACUGGGGAACUUGAGUGCAGAAGAGGAGAGUGGAAUUCCACGUGUAGCGGUGAAAUGCGUAGAGAUGUGGAGGAACACCAGUGGCGAAGGCGACUCUCUGGUCUGUAACUGACGCUGAGGAGCGAAAGCG
Molecule: ribosomal RNA, 763 nt
Filed under: Bacillus licheniformis
Lineage: Bacteria; Bacillati; Bacillota; Bacilli; Caryophanales; Bacillaceae
Description: bacterial SSU rRNA
Rfam family: Bacterial small subunit ribosomal RNA
Source: RNAcentral